Molecule: transfer RNA, 64 nt
Filed under: Elateroidea sp. AH-2016
Lineage: Eukaryota; Metazoa; Arthropoda; Insecta; Coleoptera
Description: tRNA-Asp
Source: RNAcentral
AAAAAUUUAGUUAAAAUAUAACAUUAGUAUGUCAAGCUAAAAUAACUAAAAUUAGUAAUUUUUA